UUUUUUUUUUUUUUUUUUAAGCUUCAGAGCAUGAAAAAAUGGAGGGUGAAGGGGAAAAAUACAAGGAAAAGGGGGAAGAGGGUCUGUUUGCUAUUCUGCAGUUUGUGGCUGUGCUUCACCUGUUGCAAAGCUGGAUAAUAAACACAAUCUCAGCGCACAGGAGAACAAUUCCACCACCAAUUUCAGUCACAUCCCAGUCUCUGCAGCCCCUGAAAACUGAAAACUUUGGCUAGAAACUCUCUCCUAUCAAAAAUAAAGAGCUGAUAGCAUCAGAGACAGCCCUUAAGGCCUGGUAACUGAGAGCACCAGAUCCACAUGAGUUCAUGUGCCACCAAAAAAGCCUAAUAAUCCCAACAAUUUCAGUAGAUCUGCUAGAUUUAAAGAUUAAUGCUUUAUAUAAUUCAAUAUAUGCUCUUUUAGAAUUUGAGCAAUGGCUUCUCACAGCUAAAAUUACAUGGCGGGAAAAGGGCAAAGGAGUUAUCAUCUUAUCUUACAACUUCAUACCUUAUGACUAGCAAGAACUAGGAACACAUUAGUUGGCUGGUCAAACUUUUGGAGAUUUGCAGGGCUGGGGUAGAAUUUUGCAUAUUUGAUCUUUGUAUCUUUUUUUUCUUUUCUUUUAAUGAUAUGCUCUAAGCAUUGAGGAAGUAAUAGAAGUUUUGUCUCCUCUAUCUUCAUAUUUGAUGACACUUGGAGAUAUUUAAAAACUGUAGAAUCCUCUAUUUAAUUGCCAAAAAUGGAUGUCAAACCUUGAGGACAUCACACCUCUAAGCCCACUUUAACCACACAAAUAUAUUUGAUUAGUGAACACAAGGUUUAAGAAAAAUACAGAAACCACAUCCACUUGAGUGUCAUGACCUUCAGACACUGAAAAACAUAUGGAAUAAAGAUAAAAAGCAUUCUGCUUGGUAACAAAAUAUUCCUGAGAGUUUACAAAGCCCAGUGGAGCACUGGAAAGAACAGGGAGAAGAAGUGUUUCUGGAGAGCAACAUACAAACACUUUCUUUUUAGCAGGGAAUAUGAAACAUGUUCAGACAAAUGGGUUUUGCCAUGUAUCAUCCUGCCUAGCUUUUUAAGGCCUUCCAGGUGUGCUGCUAUACCUGCAUAUUAAGGAACUGCCAGGUAAAAAGGAAUGUUUUUUGCAUUUGUGAGCAAUGCUGACAGUACACUGCUCAAAAAGGGGUUUCUGUAGUUUGCCUCUCAUAGUAUUAAAGGUCAAGGAUGGCAAGGAGCCAAAAAUAGCUGUUUCCUUUCCACAGAAAACAAAUGUACCGAGCUGUCCACCCACAUUCCAGGCAGCUGGGGAAGAUUUACAGUAUGGAAACACAGGCUAAAGAGGGUAAUCCUGCAACAGGAGUACUGCAGCAGAUCCAGGCACAAGAAGAGCUAUGGCUGAAGGUUUCUCUCAGUCAGAAGAGUUCUUAGUUGGCUAUGAAAAUUAACAAAAUUCAGAAAAACUUCUUCAGUGCAGUCCCUUCACUCCAGUCAGGAAAAAACACAAUCCAAAACUCAGGCAAACACCCGAAUCCUGAAGUGUUGUUUGAAGGGUCAGAAUGAGAACUUCCAAACAGUCAGAUUAAAAAGAGUAAAACAAAACCCACAACACCACCAACAAAAAAAAAAAAAAAAAAAAAAAAAAAAAAAAAA
This is a long non-coding RNA of Taeniopygia guttata (zebra finch), 1647 nucleotides long. The record is from Ensembl. Lineage: Eukaryota; Metazoa; Chordata; Aves; Passeriformes; Estrildidae.